This 580-nucleotide ribosomal RNA is filed under the name uncultured freshwater bacterium. RNAcentral's name for it is "bacterial SSU rRNA". It matches the Rfam family "Bacterial small subunit ribosomal RNA", at positions 8 to 599 of the family's 1533-position model. The record is from RNAcentral.
AGAGUUUGAUCCUGGCUCAGGACGAACGCUGGCGGCGUGCUUAACACAUGCAAGUCGAACGAUGAAGCCGGAGCUUGCUCUGGUGGAUUAGUGGCGAACGGGUGAGUAACACGUGAGUAACCUGCCCUUGACUCUGGGAUAAGCGUUGGAAACGACGUCUAAUACCGGAUACGAGCUAGGACCGCAUGGUCACUAGCUGGAAAGAAUUUCGGUCAAGGAUGGACUCGCGGCCUAUCAGUUAGUUGGUGAGGUAACGGCUCACCAAGACGACGACGGGUAGCCGGCCUGAGAGGGUGACCGGCCACACUGGGACUGAGACACGGCCCAGACUCCUACGGGAGGCAGCAGUGGGGAAUAUUGCACAAUGGGCGCAAGCUUGAUGCAGCAACGCCGCGUGAGGGACGACGGCCUUCGGGUUGUAAACCUCUUUUAGCAGGGAAGAAGCGAAAGUGACGGUACCUGCAGAACAAGCACCGGCUAACUACGUGCCAGCAGCCGCGGUAAUACGUAGGGUGCAAGCGUUGUCCGGAAUUAUUGAGCGUAAAGAGCUCGUAGGCGGUUUGUCGCGUCUGCUGUGAAA